Molecule: ribosomal RNA, 495 nt
Filed under: uncultured bacterium
Lineage: Bacteria
Description: partial 16S ribosomal RNA
Rfam family: Bacterial small subunit ribosomal RNA
Source: RNAcentral
GACGAACGCUGGCGGCGUGCCUAAUACAUGCAAGUAGAACGCUGAAGGAGGAGCUUGCUUCUCUGGAUGAGUUGCGAACGGGUGAGUAACGCGUAGGUAACCUGCCUGGUAGCGGGGGAUAACUCUUGGAAACGAUAGCUAAUACCGCAUAAUAGCAGUUGUUGCAUGACAACUGUUUGAAAGGUGCAAUUGCACCACUACCAGAUGGACCUGCGUUGUAUUAGCUAGUUGGUGGGGUAACGGCUCACCAAGGCGACGAUACAUAGCCGGCCUGAGAGGGUGAUCGGCCACACUGGGACUGGGAAACCGCCCAGACUUCUACGGGAGGCAGCAGUAGGGAAUCUUCGGCAAUGGACGGAAGUCUGACCGGGCAACGCCGCGUGAGUGAAGAAGGGUUUCGGAUCGGAAAGCUCUGUUGUAAGAGAAGAACGAGUGUGAGAGUGGAAAGUUCACACUGUGACGGUAUCUUACCAGAAAGGGACGGCUAACUACGUG